RNAcentral lists this long non-coding RNA (1318 nucleotides) under Homo sapiens (human). Its description in RNAcentral is "HSALNT0387628". Lineage: Eukaryota; Metazoa; Chordata; Mammalia; Primates; Hominidae. The record is from RNAcentral.
GAAGAAACUAAGACUCAGAGCUUCAGGUCACCCAGCCGGGAAGCAAGUGAGCUGGGAUUCCAGCUGCCUCUGCUGGGCUUCUUUUUUCCCAUUGCCUUCAGGGAAGGGUGACUGUCGUGGGUUAAAUGUUUCCCCCCAAAAAGACUUGCUCACAUCUGAACCCCCGGUACCCACGAAUGUAACCCUAUUUGGAAAAAGGGCCUUUGCAGAUGUCAUGAAGUUAAGAUGAGGUCAUCCUGGAUUGACAGUGGGCCCUAAGUUCAGUGCCAAGUAUCCUUAUGACAGUCAGAGAAGAUGACGCAGACACGGGACAGAGCAGGCCGUGGGGAGACAGAGGCAGAGGCUGGAGUGACACAGCUACCAGCCAAAGAGCACCAAGGUUGGCUGGAGCCCCCAGCAGCGGGACAGAGGCGCAGAACAUAUGACCACAGGAGCACCUGGAAAGGACCAAACCCAGCAACAGUUGAAUUUGGACUUUUAGCCUCCAGAACCAUGAGAAAGUAAGACUCUGCUGGACUGUGGCACGCACCCGGAACACCCAUCCAGCCGCCCUGAAGGAUGCAGGCCUCUCCGCCUUUGGUUCUCCUGUGCCUCUUCAGCCUUCUUCAGCUUGCUGCCUUUGCUGGGGAAGUGCCCACUCAGGACAGCUGAGGAGACGGAGCCACGGAGGUUGACAUAGGAGGUGAUGGAACAGCCAGUUUUCCUGCUGAGCCCAUCCGUAUAGACAGCCGGCAUGCAUUGAUGUGUCUCUCUCCCAGCUUCAACCCCUGUCUGCAGAGCUGGAGUCUCCGACUGUUCCCGCAUGUCCCUUCUCUGUUGUUACCUGCAGUCCAGACAAAAAUGGCAUAGUAAAAUAAAAGUUGAGAGAAUGCACAAACUGAUCUUUAUUUUCUCCAACAUCAAAGCGUGAUUGAUUUAUUUAUAUUUAUUUAUUUAUUUAUUUUAUUUUUGAGACAGAAUUUCACUCUGUUGACCAGGCUGGACUGCAAUGGCUCACUGCAACCUCUGCCUCCCUGGUUCAAGCAAUUCUCCUGCCUCAGCCUCCUACAUAGCUGGGAUUACAGACGCCCACCACCACACCUGGCUAAUUUUUUGUAUUUAGUAGAGUCAGAGUUUCACCAUGUUAGUCAGGCUGGUCUCGAACUGCUGACCUCAGGUGAUCCACCCACCUUGGCCUCCCAAAGUGCUGAGAUUACAGGUGUGCACCACCGCACCCAGCCGCAUGAUUUUUUUUCUUUCUGUUCUAGACAAUUUGAAAACACGAAUGAGAAGAAGAAACAGAAUCCCCCUAAUCCUAACUGCAUCAAACACAGCAAGC